GACGAACGCUGGCGGCGUGCUUAACACAUGCAAGUCGAACGGAAAGGCCCUGCUUUUGUGGGUUGCUCGAGUGGCGAACGGGUGAGUAACACGUGAGUAACCUGCCCUUGACUUUGGGAUAACUUCAGGAAACUGGGGCUAAUACCGGAUAGGAGCUCCUGCUGCAUGGUGGGGGUUGGAAAGUUUCGGCGGUUGGGGAUGGACUCGCGGCUUAUCAGCUUGUUGGUGGGGUAGUGGCUUACCAAGGCUUUGACGGGUAGCCGGCCUGAGAGGGUGACCGGCGACAUUGGGACUGAGAUACGGCCCAGACUCCUACGGGAGGCAGCAGUGGGGAAUAUUGCACAAUGGGCGGAAGCCUGAUGCAGCAGCGCCGCGUGCGGGAUGACGGCCUUCGGGUUGUAAACCGCUUUCGCCUGUGACGAAGCGUGAGUGACGGUAAUGGGUAAAGAAGCACCGGCUAACUACGUG
Molecule: ribosomal RNA, 468 nt
Filed under: uncultured bacterium
Lineage: Bacteria
Description: partial 16S ribosomal RNA
Rfam family: Bacterial small subunit ribosomal RNA
Source: RNAcentral